AGUGAACGCUGGCGGUAGGCCUAACACAUGCAAGUCGAACGGCAGCACAGUAAGCUCUCGCCUUUACGGUUGGCGACUGGCGGACGGGUGAGGCAUACAUCGGAAUCUACUUUUUCGUGGGUGAUAACGUAGGGACACUUACGCUAAUACCGCAUAUGAUCUACGGGUGAAAGCAGUGGAUCUUCGGACUUUUCGUGAUUGUAUUAGCCGAUGUCGGAUUAGCUAGUUGGCGUGGUAAAGGCCCACCAAGGCGACGAUCCGUAGCUGGUCUGAGAGGAUGAUCGGCCACACUGGAACUGAGACACGGUCCAGACUCCUACGGGAGGCAGCAGUGGGGAAUAUUGGGCAAUGGGCGAAAGCCUGAUCCAGCAAUAUCGCGUGAGUGAAGAAGGCCUUCGGAUCGUAAAGCCCUUUUGUUGGGAAAGAAAAGCAGCAGGUUAAUACACGGCUGUUCUGACGGUACCCAAAGAAUAAGCAACGGCUAACUACGUG
RNAcentral lists this ribosomal RNA (492 nucleotides) under uncultured bacterium. Its description in RNAcentral is "partial 16S ribosomal RNA". It matches the Rfam family "Bacterial small subunit ribosomal RNA", at positions 29 to 507 of the family's 1533-position model. The record is from RNAcentral.